This 775-nucleotide ribosomal RNA is filed under the name uncultured Neocallimastigales. RNAcentral's name for it is "partial large subunit ribosomal RNA". It matches the Rfam family "Eukaryotic large subunit ribosomal RNA", at positions 26 to 611 of the family's 3401-position model. Lineage: Eukaryota; Fungi; Neocallimastigomycota; Neocallimastigomycetes; Neocallimastigales. The record is from RNAcentral.
CGCAUCUGUGCAUGCAGCAUAUCAAUAAGCGGAGGAAAAGAAACUAACAAGGAUUCCCCUAGUAACGGCGAGUGAAGCGGGAAGAGCUCAAAUUUGAAAUCUUAAAGGGUUUCCCUUUACGAAUUGUAGUUUAAAGAAGUGUUUUCUGUUGAGGUUUUGGUAAAAGUUCUUUGGAAUAGGACAUCAUAGAGGGUGAGAAUCCCGUAUUUGACCUUUACUUUCAACUUUGCGAUACACUUUCAAAGAGUCGGAUUGUUUGGGAAUGCAGUCCCAAAAUGGGUGGUAAAUUUCAUCUAAAGCUAAAUAUUGGCGAGAGACCGAUAGCGAACAAGUACCGUGAGGGAAAGAUGAAAAGAACUUUGAAAAGAGAGUUAAACAGUACGUGAAAUUGUCAAAAGGGAAGCGUUUGACACCAGUGUUGUUUUUCUGAAAAUCAAUUAAAGAACUGUUUAUGCUAAGUUGUUUAGACUUUAUCAGCUAACUGUUUAGUUUUGAGCUUUUCUUUAAUGCACUUUUCAGUUAACAAGUCAACAUCAAUUUCUUUUGCUGUAAAAAAGCUUGAGGAAGGUGGCUUGAGAUUCGUCUUAAGUGUUUAUAGCCUCUUGCCUAUGCAGUCGGAGAGAUUGAGGUCUGCAGCGUAGAUCCUUCGGGGCUAAAUGCAUUUGUGCUAAGUUAUAACAUUUUAUAGACAACUUGUUGACUAUGAUUUGUCUUGUAGCUUACUCACUUAUGUUAUUUUACCUACGCUUAGGAUGUUGAACGCGCACAGAGUCUC